RNAcentral lists this unclassified non-coding RNA (226 nucleotides) under Glomus sp. RNAcentral's name for it is "partial contains 5.8S ribosomal RNA and internal transcribed spacer 2". The stretch from base 1 to 71 matches the Rfam family "5.8S ribosomal RNA", at positions 84 to 154 of the family's 154-position model. The record is from RNAcentral. Lineage: Eukaryota; Fungi; Glomeromycota; Glomeromycetes; Glomerales; Glomeraceae.
GUGAAUCAUCGAAUUUUUGAACGCAAAUUGCACUCUUUGGUAUUCCGGAGAGUAUGCCUGUUUGAGGGUCAGUUUCAAUAAAAAUAGGUGUGGUUGGUGCCUUUCGUGGUGAUGCAGCGGGUUUGGGUCGUCUUGUCUUGGGGUCAGUUAUCUAAAUUUUUGGAUGAUUUUUUUCGUAUGUAUUUAAAUGUUUUUACGUAUGUUUGCGAUAUAGAAUACUUGGUGG